GAGUCUGCGUUUCAUUAGCUAGUUGGUAGGGUAAUGGCCUACCAAGGCAACGAUGAGUAGCUGGUCUGAGAGGAUGAUCAGCCACACUGGAACUGAAACACGGUCCAGACUCCUACGGGAGGCAGCAGUGGGGAAUAUUGCGCAAUGGGCGAAAGCCUGACGCAGCAACGCCGUGUGAGGGAUGAAGGCUUUCGGGUCGUAAACCUCUGUCGGAAGGGAAGAACGGGCAAUGGUCUAAUAGGCCGUUGUUUUGACGGUACCUUUAGAGGAAGCACCGGCUAACUCCGUGCCAGCAGCCGCGGUAAUACGGAGGGUGCAAGCGUUAUUCGGAAUUACUGGGCGUAAAGCGCACGUAGGCGGCCUUGUAAGUCAGGGGUGAAAUCCCACGGCUCAACCGUGGAACUGCCUUUGAAACUGCAGGGCUUGAAUCCUGGAGAGGGUGGCGGAAUUCCUGGUGUAGGAGUGAAAUCCGUAGAUAUCAGGAGGAACACCGGUGGCGAAGGCGGCCACCUGGACAGGUAUUGACGCUGAGGUGCGAAAGUGUGGGGAGCAAACAGGAUUAGAUACCCUGGUAGUCCACACCGUAAACGAUGGAUACUGAUGCCGGAC
RNAcentral lists this ribosomal RNA (609 nucleotides) under uncultured sulfate-reducing bacterium. Its description in RNAcentral is "bacterial SSU rRNA". It matches the Rfam family "Bacterial small subunit ribosomal RNA", at positions 227 to 828 of the family's 1533-position model. The record is from RNAcentral.